Uranotaenia lowii is the source of this 320-nucleotide long non-coding RNA. RefSeq lists it as uncharacterized. Lineage: Eukaryota; Metazoa; Arthropoda; Insecta; Diptera; Culicidae. The record is from RefSeq and is a predicted model, not a curated record. The transcript has 2 exons.
CGCAUUGUGAAAAAAAUAAUGAACACAUUCAACACAGUCAUAUACUUUAUCGUCGUCAGAAGCACUCACUCAGUUUAAAAUUUACUGCUUUCCUUCAACACUUCAAUGUGAUUUUGAUCUUCCAAAAUGAUUGGUUAGUAUGGCGAAAGGCGAAGUCAAAGGUCCGAGGCGCAAUAAAACUUUUGAUGGAACCAGAUGUUGAAAGGCAGCUGAUUAUCACGAUGAUGUUAUUUCAUACAAACAAGGCAGAAAAUAAAUUUAAAUGAAAAAAAAACUUGAUUUAUUUUAAUUUUAUGCGACACAUCCUUUUCCCAUAAGAA